Molecule: ribosomal RNA, 1325 nt
Filed under: Escherichia coli
Lineage: Bacteria; Pseudomonadati; Pseudomonadota; Gammaproteobacteria; Enterobacterales; Enterobacteriaceae
Description: partial 23S ribosomal RNA
Rfam family: Bacterial large subunit ribosomal RNA
Source: RNAcentral
GGUUAAGCGACUAAGCGUACACGGUGGAUGCCCUGGCAGUCAGAGGCGAUGAAGGACGUGCUAAUCUGCGAUAAGCGUCGGUGAGGUGAUAUGAACCGUUAUAACCGGCGAUUUCCGAAUGGGGAAACCCAGUGUGUUUCGACACACUAUCAUUAACUGAAUCCAUAGGUUAAUGAGGCGAACCGGGGGAACUGAAACAUCUAAGUACCCCGAGGAAAAGAAAUCAACCGAGAUUCCCCCAGUAGCGGCGAGCGAACGGGGAGGAGCCCAGAGCCUGAAUCAGUGUGUGUGUUAGUGGAAGCGUCUGGAAAGGCGUGCGAUACAGGGUGACAGCCCCGUACACAAAAAUGCACAUAUUGUGAGCUCGAUGAGUAGGGCGGGACACGUGGUAUCCUGUCUGAAUAUGGGGGGACCAUCCUCCAAGGCUAAAUACUCCUGACUGACCGAUAGUGAACCAGUACCGUGAGGGAAAGGCGAAAAGAACCCCGGCGAGGGGAGUGAAAAAGAACCUGAAACCGUGUACGUACAAGCAGUGGGAGCCUCUUAAUGGGGUGACUGCGUACCUUUUGUAUAAUGGGUCAGCGACUUAUAUUCUGUAGCAAGGUUAACCGAAUAGGGGAGCCGAAGGGAAACCGAGUCUUAACUGGGCGUUAAGUUGCAGGGUAUAGACCCGAAACCCGGUGAUCUAGCCAUGGGCAGGUUGAAGGUUGGGUAACACUAACUGGAGGACCGAACCGACUAAUGUUGAAAAAUUAGCGGAUGACUUGUGGCUGGGGGUGAAAGGCCAAUCAAACCGGGAGAUAGCUGGUUCUCCCCGAAAGCUAUUUAGGUAGCGCCUCGUGAAUUCAUCUCCGGGGGUAGAGCACUGUUUCGGCAAGGGGGUCAUCCCGACUUACCAACCCGAUGCAAACUGCGAAUACCGGAGAAUGUUAUCACGGGAGACACACGGCGGGUGCUAACGUCCGUCGUGAAGAGGGAAACAACCCAGACCGCCAGCUAAGGUCCCAAAGUCAUGGUUAAGUGGGAAACGAUGUGGGAAGGCCCAGACAGCCAGGAUGUUGGCUUAGAAGCAGCCAUCAUUUAAAGAAAGCGUAAUAGCUCACUGGUCGAGUCGGCCUGCGCGGAAGAUGUAACGGGGCUAAACCAUGCACCGAAGCUGCGGCAGCGACACUAUGUGUUGUUGGGUAGGGGAGCGUUCUGUAAGCCUGUGAAGGUGGCCUGUGAGGGGUGCUGGAGGUAUCAGAAGUGCGAAUGCUGACAUAAGUAACGAUAAAGCGGGUGAAAAGCCCGCUCGCCGGAAGACCAAGGGUUCCUGUCCAACGUUA